GAUGAAGAACGCAGCGAAAUGCGAUAAGUAAUGUGAAUUGCAGAAUUCAGUGAAUCAUCGAAUCUUUGAACGCACAUUGCGCCCGCCAGUAUUCUGGCGGGCAUGCCUGUCUGAGCGUCAUUUCAACCCUCAUGCCCCUAGGGCGUGGUGUUGAGGAUCGGCCAAAGCCCGCGAGGGACGGCCGGCCCCUAAAUCUAGUGGCGGACCCGUCGUGGCCUCCUCUGCGAAGUAGUGAUAUUCCGCAUCGGAGAGCGAUGAGCCCCUGCCGUUAAACCCCCAACUUUCCAAGGUUGACCUCAGAUCAGGUAGGAAUACCCGCUGAACUUAAGCAUAUCAAUAAGCGGAGGA
Molecule: unclassified non-coding RNA, 348 nt
Filed under: soil metagenome
Description: partial contains 5.8S ribosomal RNA, internal transcribed spacer 2, and large subunit ribosomal RNA
Rfam family: 5.8S ribosomal RNA (bases 1-120)
Source: RNAcentral